This 147-nucleotide non-coding RNA is filed under the name Chlorocebus sabaeus (green monkey). The record is from Rfam by way of RNAcentral. Lineage: Eukaryota; Metazoa; Chordata; Mammalia; Primates; Cercopithecidae.
GCUGGGCAUGGUGGCGGGUGCCUGUAAUCCCAGCUACUUGGGAAGCUGAGGCAGAGAAUUGCUUGAACCCAGGAGGCGGAGGUUGCAGUGAGCUGAGACCACGCCACUGCACUUCAGCCUGGGCAACAGAGUGAGACUCUGUCUCAA